This 423-nucleotide ribosomal RNA is filed under the name uncultured bacterium. Its description in RNAcentral is "partial 16S ribosomal RNA". It matches the Rfam family "Bacterial small subunit ribosomal RNA", at positions 361 to 776 of the family's 1533-position model. The record is from RNAcentral.
AUUUUGGACAAUGGGCGCAAGCCUGAUCCUGCCAUGCCGCGUGUGUGAAGAAGUCCUUCGGGUUGAAAAGCUCUGUCGUACGGAAAGAUGUCGAGCAGGAUAAUACCCUGCGCGGACUGCGGAACCGACAUUAGAGUAUCUGGGAACACACGUACCUGGACCCGGGGUAAUACUUAGGGUGCGAGCGUUAAACGGAAUUACUGGGCGUAAAGCGUGCGCAGGCGGUUGAUUAAGACAGGCGUGAAAUCCCCGGGCUUAACCUGGGAACUGCGCUUGUGACUGGUCAGCUAGAGUACGGCAGAGGGGGGUGGAAUUCCACGUGUAGCAGUGAAAUGCGUAGAGAUGUGGAGGAACACCGAUAGCGAAGGCAGCCCCCUGGGCCGAUACUGACGCUCAUGCACGAAAGCGUGGGUAGCAAACAGG